This 201-nucleotide long non-coding RNA is filed under the name Vigna radiata. RNAcentral describes it as "long non-coding RNA (VRAD_LNC018364)". The record is from RNAcentral. Lineage: Eukaryota; Viridiplantae; Streptophyta; Magnoliopsida; Fabales; Fabaceae.
UGCAUUUUUUAGUUUGAGAGGGAGAAAGGGUGUGUGUUUGGGAAACGAGGGUUUAAGGGUGAGAGUGGAAAGGGCAUAGCAGUCACGUAGAUUUGGAUGAUACUAAAACAUGUCACACCUGUUUAAUUUAAUGAACAAUGUCAUGCCAUAAAAUAAAAAAAUACACGUCAAUUCAACUUUAUGUCGUUUGAGACAACUUAA